RNAcentral lists this ribosomal RNA (871 nucleotides) under Paraburkholderia caledonica. RNAcentral's name for it is "bacterial SSU rRNA". It matches the Rfam family "Bacterial small subunit ribosomal RNA", at positions 52 to 917 of the family's 1533-position model. Lineage: Bacteria; Pseudomonadati; Pseudomonadota; Betaproteobacteria; Burkholderiales; Burkholderiaceae. The record is from RNAcentral.
UACCAUGCAGUCGAACGGCAGCACGGGAGCAAUCCUGGUGGCGAGUGGCGAACGGGUGAGUAAUACAUCGGAACGUGUCCUGGAGUGGGGGAUAGCCCGGCGAAAGCCGGAUUAAUACCGCAUACGCUCUGAGGAGGAAAGGGGGGGAUCUUAGGACCUCUCGCUCAAGGGGCGGCCGAUGGCAGAUUAGCUAGUUGGUGGGGUAAAGGCCUACCAAGGCGACGAUCUGUAGCUGGUCUGAGAGGACGACCAGCCACACUGGGACUGAGACACGGCCCAGACUCCUACGGGAGGCAGCAGUGGGGAAUUUUGGACAAUGGGCGCAAGCCUGAUCCAGCAAUGCCGCGUGUGUGAAGAAGGCCUUCGGGUUGUAAAGCACUUUUGUCCGGAAAGAAAACACGCCUGUUAAUACCGGGUGUGGAUGACGGUACCGGAAGAAUAAGCACCGGCUAACUACGUGCCAGCAGCCGCGGUAAUACGUAGGGUGCAAGCGUUAAUCGGAAUUACUGGGCGUAAAGCGUGCGCAGGCGGUUCGUUAAGACAGAUGUGAAAUCCCCGGGCUUAACCUGGGAACUGCAUUUGUGACUGGCGGACUCGAGUAUGGCAGAGGGGGGUAGAAUUCCACGUGUAGCAGUGAAAUGCGUAGAGAUGUGGAGGAAUACCGAUGGCGAAGGCAGCCCCCUGGGCCAAUACUGACGCUCAUGCACGAAAGCGUGGGGAGCAAACAGGAUUAGAUACCCUGGUAGUCCACGCCCUAAACGAUGUCAACUGGUUGUCGGGUCUUCAUUGACUUGGUAACGAAGCUAACGCGUGAAGUUGACCGCCUGGGGAGUACGGUCGCAAGAUUAAAACUCAAAUGAAAUUUGACGGA